AUGUGCAUUGUGUGACAUCAUAUAUACUACAAUCGGAAUAAUACAGAGAAGAUUAGCAUGUUCCUUGUGCAUGGGUGACAUACUAAUUCAUGAAGUGUUUCAUAUUAAA
Small nuclear RNA from Talpa occidentalis (Iberian mole), 109 nucleotides. Lineage: Eukaryota; Metazoa; Chordata; Mammalia; Eulipotyphla; Talpidae. The record is from RefSeq and is a predicted model, not a curated record.